RNAcentral lists this transfer RNA (72 nucleotides) under Danionella translucida. It matches the Rfam family "tRNA". From Rfam's summary of the family: Transfer RNA (tRNA) molecules are approximately 80 nucleotides in length. Their secondary structure includes four short double-helical elements and three loops (D, anti-codon, and T loops). Lineage: Eukaryota; Metazoa; Chordata; Actinopteri; Cypriniformes; Danionidae. RNAcentral also lists the same sequence under 1 other name. The record is from Rfam by way of RNAcentral.
GGUUCUAUUGUGUAAUUGUUAGCACUCUGCACUUUGAAUCCAGCAAUCCGAGUUCAAAUCUUGGUAGGACCU